AUGGUGCAGCUCGCAAAGGCAGGUAAAAAUCAAGGUGACCCCAAGAAUUGGCUCCUCCCCCAAAGGAGGUAGAAGAAGACAAUGAAGAUGAGGAAAUGUCAGAAGAUGAUGAUGAUGACAGCAGUGAGGAAGAGGUUAUCGUCCCUCAGAAGAAAGGCAAGAAGGCUACUGCAACCCCAGCAAAGAAAGUGAUGGUUUCUCCAACUAAAAAGGUUGCAGUUGCCACACCUGCCAAGAAGCAGCUGUUACCCCAGGCAAAAAGGCAGCAGCCCCACAGACCAAGAAGAUGGUUACUCCAGCCAAAGCAGUAGCAACACCCGGCAAAAAGGGAGGCACACCCGGCAAAGCAUUGGUAGCAACCCCUGGUAAGAAGGGAGCAGCCACUCCAGCCAAGAGGGCAAAGAACACAAGAAUGCCAAGAAGAAAGACAGUGGUGAUGAGGAUGAUGACAGUGAGGAGGAGGAGGAGGAGGAAUUUGAACCAGCAGUGAUGAAAGCAGCAGCCUGCCUCAGAGGAUGAAGAUGAUGAGGGAGAUGAAGAUAAAGACGAGGAGGAGGAUGACUCUGAAGAAGCAGCUAUGGAGACAACAUCAGCCGAAGGAAAGAAAGCUUCUGCAAGUUGUUCCUGUGAAAGCUAAGAGUGUGGCUGAGGAGGAACAUGAAGAUGAUGAGGAAGAGGAUGAAGAGGAGGAGGAGGAAGAGGAGGAAGAGCCUGUCAAAGAAGAACCUGGAAAACGAAAGAAGGAAAUGAUGAAACAGAAAGCGGCUCCUGAAGCCAAGAAACAGAAAGUGGAAGGAACAGAACCGACUACACCUUUCAAUCUGUUUACUGGAAACCUGAAUUCUAACAAAUCUGCUCCCGAAUUAAAAACUGGUAUCAGUGAUGUUUUUGCUAAAAACGAUCUUGCUGUUGUGGAUGUCAGAAUUGGUAUGACUAGAAAGUUUGGCUAUGUGGAUUUUGAAUCUGCUGAAGACCUGGAAAAAGCCUUGGAGCUCACUGGUUUGAAAGUCUUUGGCAAUGAAAUUAAACUAGAGAAACCAAAAGGGAAAGACAGUAAGAACGAUCGGGAUGCCAGAACACUUUUGGCCAAAAACCUUCCCUACAAAGUCACUCAGGAUGAAUUAAAAGAAGUGUUUGAAGAUGCUAUGGAGAUCAGAAUAGUCAGCAAAGAUGGGAAGAGUAAAGGGAUUGCUUAUAUUGAAUUUAAGACAGAAGCUGAUGCACAGAAAAUAUUUGAAGAAAAGCAGGGAACAGAGAUUGAUGGGCGAUCCAUUUCCCUGUACUACACUGGGUAGAAAGGUCAAAGUCAAGACUAUAGGGGUGGAAAGAAUAGCACUUGGAGCGGUGAAUCAAAAACUCUGGUUUUAAGCAACUUGUCCUACAGUGCAACAGAAGAAACUCUUCAGGAAGUAUUUGAGAAGGCAACUUUUAUCAAAGUGCCCCAGAACCAAAAUGGCAAAUCUAAAGGGUAUGCAUUUAUAGAAUUUGCUUCAUUUGAAGAUGCUAAUGAAGCUUUAAAUUCCUGUAAUAAAAGGGAAAUUGAGGGCAGAGCAAUCAGGCUGGAGUUACAAGCACCCAGAGGAUCACCUAAUGCCAGAAGCCAGCAGUCCAAAACUCUGUUUGUCAAAGGUCUGUCUGAGGGUACCACUGAAGAGACAUUGAAGGAGUCGUUUGACGGCUGUGUUCGUGCACGGAUAGUCACUGACAGGGAAACUGGGUCCUCCAAAGGGUUUGUGUUUGUAGACUUUAACAGUGAGGAAGAUGCCAAAGCUGCAAAGGAGGCCAUUGGAAGAUGGUGAAAUUGAUGGAAACAAAGUUACCUUGGACUGGGCCAAGCCUAAGGGUGAAGGUGGCUUUGGGGGUCACGGUGGAGGCAGAGGCGGAUUUGGUGGCAGAGGCCGGGGAGGCUUUGGAAGCCGAGGAGGCUUCCGAGGUGGAAGAGGAGGAGGAGGAGACCACAAGCCACAAGGAAAGAAGACGAAGUUUGAAUAGCUUCUUUGUCCCUGUGUCUUUCCCUUAUCUGUUUGAAAGAAAGGACUCUGGGUUUUUACUCUGUUACCUGAUCAAUGACAGAGCCUUCUGAGGACAUUCCAAGACAGUAUACAGUCCUGUGGUCUACU
This is an RNA transcript of Nycticebus coucang (slow loris), 2120 nucleotides long. It is a transcript of the gene named nucleolin-like, with no coding region annotated. NCBI's taxonomy places the organism in Eukaryota, Metazoa, Chordata, Mammalia, Primates, Lorisidae. The transcript has a single exon. The record is from RefSeq and is a predicted model, not a curated record.